GUGCUGACUUUGGCAACACGUAUACUAAAAUCACAGCAAUACAGAAAAGAUCAGCACGGCUCUGCACAAGGAUGACAUACAAAUCCGUGCAGCACUCCACUUUUUU
RNAcentral lists this small nuclear RNA (106 nucleotides) under Spermophilus dauricus (Daurian ground squirrel). The record is from RNAcentral. Lineage: Eukaryota; Metazoa; Chordata; Mammalia; Rodentia; Sciuridae.